Molecule: non-coding RNA, 77 nt
Organism: Potamilus streckersoni
Lineage: Eukaryota; Metazoa; Mollusca; Bivalvia; Unionida; Unionidae
Source: the annotation of a GenBank genome assembly
GACCGCUCUGGUGGCCUAGUGGUUAGAGCAUCCACCUUGGAUGUGGAAGGUCAAAGAUUCAAACUCCAGCCAAGUCA